RNAcentral lists this ribosomal RNA (458 nucleotides) under uncultured bacterium. Its description in RNAcentral is "bacterial SSU rRNA". It matches the Rfam family "Bacterial small subunit ribosomal RNA", at positions 83 to 518 of the family's 1533-position model. The record is from RNAcentral.
ACUGAGAAGAUAGUGGCGGACGGGUGAGUAACACGUGGGUAACCUGCCCCGAUAAGAGGGGGAGUAACAUCCGGAAACGGGUGCUAAUACCGCAUAGUUUUCGUUAAUCGCAUGAUUGAGAAAGGAAAGACGGCCUUUGUGCUGUCGCUUAUGGAUGGACCCGCGGCGUAUUAGUUAGUUGGUGAGGUAACGGCUCACCAAGACGAUGAUACGUAGCCGACCUGAGAGGGUGAUCGGCCACAUUGGGACUGAGACACGGCCCAAACUCCUACGGGAGGCAGCAGUAGGGAAUCUUCCGCAAUGGACGAGAGUCUGACGGAGCAACGCCGCGUGAGUGAAGGUAAAGGUUUUCGGAUCGUAAAACUCUGUUGUCAGAGAAGAACAAGUCGGAGAGUAACUGCUCCGGCCUUGACGGUAUCUGACCAGAAAGCCACGGCUAACUACGUGCCAGCAGCCGC